Molecule: ribosomal RNA, 429 nt
Filed under: Bacteroidota bacterium
Lineage: Bacteria; Pseudomonadati; Bacteroidota
Description: Bacteroidetes bacterium partial 16S ribosomal RNA
Rfam family: Bacterial small subunit ribosomal RNA
Source: RNAcentral
UAGGGAAUCUUCGGCAAUGGGGGGAACCCUGACCGAGCAACGCCGCGUGAGUGAAGAAGGUUUUCGGAUCGUAAAGCUCUGUUGUUAAGGAAGAACGAGUGUGAGAAUGGAAAGUUCAUGCUGUGACGGUACUUAACCAGAAAGGGACGGCUAACUACGUGCCAGCAGCCGCGGUAAUACGUAGGUCCCGAGCGUUGUCCGGAUUUAUUGGGCGUAAAGCGAGCGCAGGCGGUUAGAAAAGUCUGAAGUGAAAGGCAGUGGCUCAACCAUUGUAGGCUUUGGAAACUGUUUAACUUGAGUGCAGAAGGGGAGAGUGGAAUUCCAUGUGUAGCGGUGAAAUGCGUAGAUAUAUGGAGAAACACCGGUGGCGAGAGCGGCUCUCUGGUCUGUAACUGACGCUGAGGCUCGAAAGCGUGGGGAGCGAACAGG